Molecule: transfer RNA, 73 nt
Filed under: Alligator mississippiensis (American alligator)
Lineage: Eukaryota; Metazoa; Chordata; Crocodylia; Alligatoridae
Rfam family: tRNA
About the family: Transfer RNA (tRNA) molecules are approximately 80 nucleotides in length. Their secondary structure includes four short double-helical elements and three loops (D, anti-codon, and T loops). Further hydrogen bonds mediate the characteristic L-shaped molecular structure. tRNAs have two regions of fundamental functional importance: the anti-codon, which is responsible for specific mRNA codon recognition, and the 3' end, to which the tRNAs corresponding amino acid is attached (by aminoacyl-tRNA synthetases). tRNAs cope with the degeneracy of the genetic code in two manners: having more than one tRNA (with a specific anti-codon) for a particular amino acid; and 'wobble' base-pairing, i.e. permitting non-standard base-pairing at the 3rd anti-codon position.
Source: Rfam by way of RNAcentral
GGGGGCAUAGCUCAGUGAUAGAGCAUUUGAUUGCAGAUCAAGAGGUUCCCUGGUUCACAUCUAGCUGCUCCUC